CUGAAUGAUGCUCCAUCAUCAGGCAGACCAGUUGAAGUUGACAACAAUGAAAUUAAGACAUUAAGUGAGAACAAUCAAUGUUCUACCACACAGGAGGUAGCCAACAUAUUCAAAAUAUCCAAGUCAAUAAAGUUUUGGUGAAAAAGAAAAACGUGUCUUUCAUUUU
Phyllostomus discolor (pale spear-nosed bat) is the source of this 166-nucleotide long non-coding RNA. RefSeq lists it as uncharacterized. The transcript is spliced from 2 exons. Lineage: Eukaryota; Metazoa; Chordata; Mammalia; Chiroptera; Phyllostomidae. The record is from RefSeq and is a predicted model, not a curated record.